RNAcentral lists this ribosomal RNA (253 nucleotides) under uncultured bacterium. Its description in RNAcentral is "partial 16S ribosomal RNA". It matches the Rfam family "Bacterial small subunit ribosomal RNA", at positions 524 to 776 of the family's 1533-position model. The record is from RNAcentral.
CACGUAGGAGGCGAGCGUUGUCCGGAAUCAUUGGGCGUAAAGCGCGUGUAGGCGGUUCGGUAAGUCCGCUGUGAAAGUCGGGGGCUCAACCCUCGAAUGCCGGUGGAUACUGUCGGACUAGAGUACGGAAGAGGCGAGUGGAAUUCCUGGUGUAGCGGUGAAAUGCGCAGAUAUCAGGAGGAACACCAAUUGCGAAGGCAGCUCGCUGGGACGUUACUGACGCUGAGACGCGAAAGCGUGGGGAGCAAACAGG